AGAGAGAGACAUGCGCGCAUAUCAAUAAGCGGAGGAAAAGAAACUAACAAGGAUUCCCUUAGUAACGGCGAGUGAAGCGGGAAGAGCUCAAAUUUGAAAUCUUCAAGGUUUACCUUGACGAAUUGUAGUUUAAAGAAGUGUUUUCUGCUGAAGUUUUGGUAAAAGUUCUUUGGAAUAGGACAUCAUAGAGGGUGAGAAUCCCGUAUUUGACCAUUAUUUUCAGCUUUGUGAUACGCUUUCAAAGAGUCGGAUUGUUUAGGGAAUGCAGUCCAAAAUGGGUGGUAAAUUUCAUCUAAAGCUAAAUAUUGGCGAGAGACCGAUAGCGAACAAGUACCGUGAGGAAAGAUGAAAAGAACUUUGAAAAGAGAGUUAAACAGUACGUGAAAUUGUCAAAAGGGAAGCGUUUGACACCAGUGUUGUUUUCUCGAAAAUCAAUUAAAAAUGGCUCGAUUUUGUAUUGUUGAGACCUUAAAAGCUCACUGUACAUUUUUCGUGUCUUUUUUAAUGCACUUUUCGUUUAACAAGUCAACAUCAGUUUCUUUUGUUGUAAAAGGGUCAUUGGAAGGUGGCUUUCUUUUCGGAGAAAGUGUUUAUAGCCUUUGGCCUCUGCAAUCGGAGAGACUGAGGUCUGCAGCGUAGACUCUUCGGGGUUAGAUACAUUUGUGCUAAGUUAUAGCUUUUUAUAGACAACUUGUUGACUAUAAUUAGUCUUGUAGCUUACUCGCUUAUGCUAUUUUACCUACGCUUAGGAUGUUGAAGUCAUCGUAUCGCGC
RNAcentral lists this ribosomal RNA (773 nucleotides) under uncultured Neocallimastigales. Its description in RNAcentral is "partial large subunit ribosomal RNA". It matches the Rfam family "Eukaryotic large subunit ribosomal RNA", at positions 23 to 645 of the family's 3401-position model. The record is from RNAcentral. Lineage: Eukaryota; Fungi; Neocallimastigomycota; Neocallimastigomycetes; Neocallimastigales.